AGCGUGACUGACUGCUGGCGUGGGAUCGCUCCGCCGGGGGACCUUCGGGGUGCAGUUGCGGGUCUGCUUUCUGGACUCAUCUACGGCUGGGGGAGACUCCCACCCUCCGGGUUGCUGUGACGGUGCCUUGGCUUGCAGGGUGAGGCCCUGCUCCUUCGUCGGCCGUCAUUGGCCACCACGUCUCAGACGGACCUGCUGUUUUGGCUUUUACCGGAAAUUGCACUAUCCUAAAUCACACUUUUAAUGAACUGUUGCAGCUGAUAAGAGCACGGCUCCACAGUUGAAGACUGCCUGGCUCAGGACCAAGGAAGUGUGUUCUUAAAGUAUUGUCUCGUGCACUGUGGCUCUC
This is a long non-coding RNA of Hippoglossus stenolepis (Pacific halibut), 349 nucleotides long. RefSeq lists it as uncharacterized. The record is from RefSeq and is a predicted model, not a curated record. The transcript has 3 exons. Lineage: Eukaryota; Metazoa; Chordata; Actinopteri; Pleuronectiformes; Pleuronectidae.